UAACUUACAAGUUAAGCACCAAAAUCUUACACCUUUUAAACAUCGUGAGAUUGCUAUUCAAUAAAAAUGCUCGCACCAAGUAGUCAUGACUAACUGGAUGCCGAAGCUUCACACACUGUUUUUGACAUCCAAGUUAAAUACCUUUGAAAGGAAAAAAAUGCAUUACAUGUUUCAAAAGAAAAGAAAUAUGUGUAUAUAUGCAUGUCUUUUUCUGUGUGUAUCAAUCUCAUUAUCUUUUA
This 239-nucleotide long non-coding RNA is filed under the name Oryza brachyantha (malo sina). Its description in RNAcentral is "long non-coding RNA (OBRA_LNC002007)". The record is from RNAcentral. Lineage: Eukaryota; Viridiplantae; Streptophyta; Magnoliopsida; Poales; Poaceae.